AUGGGCGGCGGAGGCGCGCACGGCGGCACGACGUACAAGGGCUACACCAUCCCCCACAACAAGCGCUGGCACACCAUCGCCGGCAAGGGCCUCUGCGCCACCAUGUGGUUUUGGAUUUUCUACAGGGCUAAGCAGGACGGCGCUGUGCUCUUGGGUAUGCGUCAUCCUUGGGAUGGCCAUGAUGAUCACGCGCAUGGUCAUGGACAUGCACACGAGCAUGAGGCUUCAUCGUCGUCAUCGCCGUCCCAUUGA
This 252-nucleotide ribosomal RNA is filed under the name Triticum aestivum (bread wheat). RNAcentral's name for it is "partial small subunit ribosomal RNA". Lineage: Eukaryota; Viridiplantae; Streptophyta; Magnoliopsida; Poales; Poaceae. The record is from RNAcentral.